GCAAGUCGAGCGGAACGAGUUAUCUGAACCUUCGGGGAACGAUAACGGCGUCGAGCGGCGGACGGGUGAGUAAUGCCUAGGAAAUUGCCCUGAUGUGGGGGAUAACCAUUGGAAACGAUGGCUAAUACCGCAUGAUGCCUACGGGCCAAAGAGGGGGACCUUCGGGCCUCUCGCGUCAGGAUAUGCCUAGGUGGGAUUAGCUAGUUGGUGAGGUAAGGGCUCACCAAGGCGACGAUCCCUAGCUGGUCUGAGAGGAUGAUCAGCCACACUGGAACUGAAACACGGUCCAGACUCCUACGGGAGGCAGCAGUGGGGAAUAUUGCACAAUGGGCGCAAGCCUGAUGCAACCUUGCUUCGUGUGUGAAGAAGGCCUUCGG
RNAcentral lists this ribosomal RNA (377 nucleotides) under Vibrio sp. RNAcentral describes it as "bacterial SSU rRNA". It matches the Rfam family "Bacterial small subunit ribosomal RNA", at positions 57 to 421 of the family's 1533-position model. The record is from RNAcentral. Lineage: Bacteria; Pseudomonadati; Pseudomonadota; Gammaproteobacteria; Vibrionales; Vibrionaceae.